Molecule: ribosomal RNA, 3009 nt
Filed under: Triticum aestivum (bread wheat)
Lineage: Eukaryota; Viridiplantae; Streptophyta; Magnoliopsida; Poales; Poaceae
Description: partial small subunit ribosomal RNA
Source: RNAcentral
AUGGUGGCGACGGCGACGGCGACGGCGAGGGAGCUGGUCCCGGCGGUAGCGGAGGGCGCGCCGUGGAAUCACGGGACGGUGAAAGACAUCGACGUGGCCGCCCGGCGGGCCCAGGAGGCAGCAAAUAGACGGUAUGAUGCAGCCAGUUGGUUGCGAAGAACAGUCGGGAUCGUGUGUGCAAGGGACCUGCCAGAAGAGCCCUCUGAGGAGGAAUUCCGGCUUGGGCUGAGAAAUGGAAUUGUCCUUUGCAAUGCACUGAACAAGGUUCAGCCGGGGGCCAUACCUAAGGUCGUGGAAGCCCGCACAGAUACCGUUAUACCUGCUGAUGGCUCAGCUCUGUGUGCAUAUCAGUACUUUGAGAAUUUGCGCAACUUCCUUGUCAGCGUACAAGAUAUAGGGCUCCCUACAUUUGAGCUGUCUGACUUGGAGAAGGGUGGCAAGGGUGUUCGAGUUGUCGAUUGCAUUCUUGCUCUGAAGUCAUUCAGUGAAAGUAAGACAACAGGGAGACAGACUCCAUGUAAAUAUGGCAGCAUUACAAAGCCUUCGACGUCUGGCAAGCAUUUCAUACUCAAGAAUUCUGAUGCUUUUAUGAAUAAGUUAAUGAGAAGCCACACAACAGAGCCAAUCCAGAAAGUUUUAAUAGCAGAGCAAAGCAUAACUGAUUGUUGUCUGGAAUCCACCGAGAUGACUAAUUCAGAAUCCCUUAACAUGCUUGUGCGUACGCUACUCUUGGAUAAGAAACCAGAAGAAGUCCCAUUGAUUGUUGAGUCACUCCUGAUUAAAGUUAUUCAGGAAUAUGAGUGUCGAGCUGCAAACAAGCACUUGGUGAAUUGCAUAGGUGACCUUAAAGGAACCGACCUAUUUUCCAGACCAGAGAAACCAUUGCCAGAAAAAACUUCCACCAGUAAUCAAGUUAAGAUGGGUGAAGAGGAGCCAAAUCUCUUAAAGGUGACGGAAGAGGUCAGCUCUGUAGUUCGGAAUGAUGAUUGUGUAGCUGAACAGUUCCAACCAGGGGUGGAAAUAACUAUUGAACUACAACAGAAACAUAUCCAGGAAUUAAGAAAUUCCCUUUCUUCUGUCAAGUCUGGAAUGGAACAAUUGAGAAUACAGUACUCUGAAGAUUUUACUAAAAUUGGUAGGCAGCUGUACAUCCUCUCUAACGCGGCUUCUGGCUAUCAUAAAGUUCUUGAGGAUAACCGCAAGUUGUACAACCAAAUACAGGAUCUUAAAGGAAAUAUUAGAGUAUAUUGUCGAGUGAGGCCUUUUCUACCUGGACAAGCAAAUUCCUCCAACACUGUUGCUGGCAUGGAAGAAAGAACAAUCACAAUAAUCACUCCCACAAAAUAUGGAAAAGAUGGAAGCAAAUCUUUUACUUUCAACAAGGUCUUUGGCCCAGCAGCCACUCAAGAGGAAGUCUUUUCGGAUAUGCAACCAUUGAUCCGUUCGGUUCUUGAUGGUUUCAAUGUUUGCAUAUUUGCUUAUGGCCAGACUGGAUCAGGGAAGACCUAUACAAUGAGUGGACCUAAUGUACUGAGCAAGGAAAGCGUUGGUGUCAACUACAGAGCACUAAAUGACUUAUUUAAUCUUCAAGCACAGAGAAAGGGGACAAUCAAUUACGAAAUUUCUGUGCAGAUGAUUGAGAUCUACAACGAGCAAGUGAGAGAUCUCCUUCAGGAUAGUGGAAACAGAAGAUUAGAAAUAAGAAAUACUUCACAGAAAGGGCUUGCAGUUCCAGAUGCGAGCAUAGUUCCUGUCACAUCGACCUCUGAUGUUGCUGAACUUAUGAAUCAAGGCCAAAAGAAUCGUGUGGUAGGUUCAACAGCCAUUAACGACCGAAGCAGCCGCUCUCAUAGUUGCCUGACUGUUCAUGUUCAAGGACGUGACCUAACAUCUGGGACAAUCUUGAGAGGUUGCAUGCAUCUUGUUGAUUUAGCCGGUAGUGAAAGAGUUGAUAAAUCUGAGGUUGUAGGAGAUAGACUGAAGGAAGCACUGUACAUAAACAAGUCACUUUCAGCACUCGGAGAUGUGAUUGCAUCCCUUGCCCAGAAAAACUCUCAUGUCCCUUACCGCAACAGCAAGCUUACCCAGCUUUUGCAAGAUUCUCUAGGAGGACAAGCAAAAACAUUGAUGUUUGUGCACAUAAGCCCUGAACCAGACGCUGUUAAUGAGACAAUAAGCACCUUGAAAUUUGCUGAACGAGUUGCCUCUGUUGAGUUGGGCGCAGCAAAAGCGAAUAAAGAAGGUGGUGAGGUUAGGGAGUUGAAAGAACAGAUUGCUUGCCUCAAGGCAGCACUGGCUAAGAAGGAAGGAGAACCAGAGAACAUUCAGAGCACACAGUCAAGCCCAAACAUAUACGGAAUCAACAAAAGCAAUGCAACACCUGUAUUCCGAAAAAACAGGCAGCCUAUGGAAGACGUUGGAAACCUAGAGGUCCGGAACAAUGUCACUCCGAUGCAAAAAGCGCUAAAGUUUGAUAUUCCUGGCUCUGGCAUCCUCGUCGAGCAUAAGUCGCCUAACUCGGUCAAGAAUUGCUGGGUUGAUAAUGCAGCUGUUGGUGACAACCAAUUCGAGAAUAGCAAUUCUGUUCGAGAGCAGGAGCCUGACCUCACCACUCACACCCUGCUUCCGAAUUUGUUCUAUCAAAGAUACACUCCGGGGCCGCAAAGGGGUAGGGUUGAGUCAGUACCAAGCCAGGAGUCAGACGAAUUUAAUGGUGUUACCAACAGCUGUUCCUCGGACCAAGACAUGGUGAUGUCAGCCAGUGGCCAGAAAGUAGUUGGCAUUACCAAUGGAGGCGUUUCAAAUAAAAAGAAGCCUCGGGCAAAGAAUGAAAAUAAUAUGACAACGAGGAGUACAAAUCCAACAUGCAAGUCACCACCCCAAUCGCAGAAAAGACUACAAACACCAGUCAGGAGCUCUGUGCAAAAAACACCUACCAAGAAUGGCAAACAACUUUUGAGUGGUACAGAUGGAAGAACUCCAAGUGGAAAGACUAACACUGUAAAGUAA